GUCUCCGUAGCUCAGCUGGAUAGAGCGUCCGCCUCCUAAGCGGAAGGCCAGGCGUUCAAAUCGCCUCGGGGACG
Molecule: transfer RNA, 74 nt
Filed under: Caproiciproducens sp. NJN-50
Lineage: Bacteria; Bacillati; Bacillota; Clostridia; Eubacteriales; Acutalibacteraceae
Rfam family: tRNA
About the family: Transfer RNA (tRNA) molecules are approximately 80 nucleotides in length. Their secondary structure includes four short double-helical elements and three loops (D, anti-codon, and T loops). Further hydrogen bonds mediate the characteristic L-shaped molecular structure. tRNAs have two regions of fundamental functional importance: the anti-codon, which is responsible for specific mRNA codon recognition, and the 3' end, to which the tRNAs corresponding amino acid is attached (by aminoacyl-tRNA synthetases). tRNAs cope with the degeneracy of the genetic code in two manners: having more than one tRNA (with a specific anti-codon) for a particular amino acid; and 'wobble' base-pairing, i.e. permitting non-standard base-pairing at the 3rd anti-codon position.
Source: Rfam by way of RNAcentral